UUAGAGUUUGAUCAUGGCUCAGAUUGAACGCUGGUGGCAAGCCUAACACAUGCAAGUCGAGCGGCAGCACAAGGGAGUUUACUCCUGAGGUGGCGAGCGGCGGACGGAUGAGUAAUGCCUAGGGAUCUGCCCAGUCGAGGGGGAUAACAGUUGGAAACGACUGCUAAUACCGCAUACGCCCUACGGGGUGAAAGAGGGGGACCUUCGGGCCUCUCGCGAUUGGAUGAACCUAGGUGGGAUUAGCCAGUUGGUGAGGUAAUGGCUCACCAAGGCGACGAUCCCUAGCUGUUCUGAGAGGAUGAUCAGCCACACUAGGGACUGAGACACGGCCCAGACUCCUACGGGAGGCAGCAGUGGGGAAUAUUGCACAAUGGGGGAAACCCUGAUGCAGCCAUGCC
This 398-nucleotide ribosomal RNA is filed under the name uncultured bacterium. Its description in RNAcentral is "bacterial SSU rRNA". It matches the Rfam family "Bacterial small subunit ribosomal RNA", at positions 1 to 398 of the family's 1533-position model. The record is from RNAcentral.